Molecule: ribosomal RNA, 533 nt
Filed under: uncultured archaeon
Lineage: Archaea
Description: bacterial SSU rRNA
Rfam family: Archaeal small subunit ribosomal RNA
Source: RNAcentral
AAACUUUGCAAUGUGCGAAAGCACGACAAGGUUAAUCCGAGUGAUUUCUGCUAAAGGAAUCUUUUGUCAGUCCUAGAAACACUGUUGAAUAAGGGGUGGGCAAGUUCUGGUGUCAGCCGCCGCGGUAAAACCAGCACCUCAAGUGGUCAGGAUGAUUAUUGGGCCUAAAGCAUCCGUAGCCUGCUUUGUCAGUUUUCGGUUAAAUCCAUACGCUCAACGUAUGGGCUGCCGGAAAUACUGCAAAGCUAGGGAGUGGGAGAGGUAGACGGUACUCGGGAGGAAGGGGUAAAAUCCUUUGAUCUCUCGAUGACCACCUGUGGCGAAGGCGGUCUACCAGAACACGUCCGACGGUGAGGGAUGAAAGCUGGGGGAGCAAACCGGAUUAGAUACCCGGGUAGUCCCAGCUGUAAACUAUGCAAACUCAGUGAUGCAUUGGCUUGAUGCCAAUGCAGUGUUGCAGGGAAGCCGUUAAGUUUGCCGCCUGGGAAGUACGUACGCAAGUAUGAAACUUAAAGGAAUUGGCGGGGGAGCAC